This 1182-nucleotide ribosomal RNA is filed under the name Phenes raptor. RNAcentral describes it as "partial 16S ribosomal RNA". Lineage: Eukaryota; Metazoa; Arthropoda; Insecta; Odonata; Petaluridae. The record is from RNAcentral.
UAAAUUUUAUUCUUACUAUCUUUUUUAAUUUAAUUUUAGAGAAGUAUCUUUAAUUAUAGUAUACUAAAGAAAUAAUUUUAUUGGUUAUAGUGAAAUAGUACCGUAGGGGAAUUAUGAUGAAAAAUUUUUAAAAAUUAGUUUUGUAUAAGUAGAUUUUAUUUAUUGUACCUUUUGUAUCAGGGUUGAUUAAAUAUUAUUAAUUUAUUGUUAAGUUCUCGAUUUCAGAAGAGCUAUAUUAUAAUUUAUUUGAUGUUACAUAAUCAUUAAAAAUAUAAGUUAGUGGAGAUAUUCUAUUCGUUUUUAAAGGUAUCUAGUUUUUUAAGAAAUAAAUUUAAUUUAGAUUUUUAAUUUAAUUUAUUAAUUUUUAAUAAAUUAUUUUAUGAAAUUAAGAUUUUAGGGGAUAAGCUCUAAUUUUAUUCUAAAAAUUUAUUUUAUUAAUAAUCUAUGUAGGGUUAAAAGCAUCCAUCAUUAAUAAAUACGUUAUAGUUUAGAUUAUAAUAAUUAGAUUUUCUUUAUUUUAGUAUUUUAUUAAAAUUUCAAUUUUAAUUAGUGAAAUUGAGUAAUAAUGAUUAAAUUAGUAUAAUUAUUAUGUUUAUAAAUUAUUAAUUGAGAUAAUUAGAUAAGGAACUCGGCAAAUUAACACUCGCCUGUUUAACAAAAACAUGUCUUCUUGGUUGAAUUUAUAAGAAGUCUGGCCUGCCCAGUGAUAAUUAUUUAACGGCCGCGGUAUUUUGACCGUGCAAAGGUAGCAUAAUCAUUAGUCUUUUAAUAGAGGGCUGGUAUGAAGGGUUUGACGAGGUGUUGACUGUCUCAUUUAAUUUGAAUUUAGAAUUUACCUUUUUAGUCAAAAGGCUAAAAUUUUAUUGGAAGACGAGAAGACCCUAUAGAGCUUUAUAUUUAUUUUAUUAAUUAUUUUUUUGUUUAUAUUUAUUUAUUAUUAAAUAAAAUAUUGUGUUGGGGUGACAAAAAUAUAUAAUUAACUUUUUUAUUUAAAUUACAUUAAUAUAUGUAUAAUAGAUCCAAUUUUAUUGAUUGUUAGAAUAAGUUACCUUAGGGAUAACAGCGUAAUCUUCCUCCAGAGUUCAUAUUUACAGGAAGGCUUGCGACCCCGAUGUUGGAUUAAGAUGAUAAUUAGGUGUAGCCGCUUAAUGUAUAAGCUGUUCGACCUUUAAAUUCUUACAU